CAGUAGCCGCGGGAAUACGUAGGUGGCAAGCGUUGUCCGGAAUUAUUGGGCGUAAAGGGCUCGCAGGCGGUUUCUUAAGUCUGAUGUGAAAGCCCCCGGCUCAACCGGGGAGGGUCAUUGGAAACUGGGAAACUUGAGUGCAGAAGAGGAGAGUGGAAUUCCACGUGUAGCGGUGAAAUGCGUAGAGAUGUGGAGGAACACCAGUGGCGAAGGCGACUCUCUGGUCUGUAACUGACGCUGAUGUGCGAAAGCGUGGGGAUCAAACAGGAUUAGAUACCCCGGUAGUCCCUGUCUCUUAUAC
This 301-nucleotide ribosomal RNA is filed under the name uncultured bacterium. Its description in RNAcentral is "partial 16S ribosomal RNA". It matches the Rfam family "Bacterial small subunit ribosomal RNA", at positions 509 to 807 of the family's 1533-position model. The record is from RNAcentral.